RNAcentral lists this transfer RNA (67 nucleotides) under Ochlodes venata (large skipper). RNAcentral describes it as "tRNA-Glu". Lineage: Eukaryota; Metazoa; Arthropoda; Insecta; Lepidoptera; Hesperiidae. The record is from RNAcentral.
AUUUAUAUAGUUUAACAAAAACUUUACAUUUUCAUUGUAAAAAUAAAAAAAUUUUUUUUUAUAAAUA